This is a long non-coding RNA of Hipposideros armiger (great roundleaf bat), 1156 nucleotides long. RefSeq lists it as uncharacterized. The record is from RefSeq and is a predicted model, not a curated record. Lineage: Eukaryota; Metazoa; Chordata; Mammalia; Chiroptera; Hipposideridae. The transcript is spliced from 3 exons.
UUCAAGUGAUCAGUAGUCUUAUGUGGCCAGUGGCCACCAUACUGGACAGCAUAGAUUUAUAACAUAACCAACCUGCAUUCACACAAGACCAAAAACAAGACUAAAAUAUGACCAAUAACUUAUUUCUACCUAUAGAUUCUUCCCCCAACCUGCUUCUUGUCAGCUGGUCAGCUGGUUCAACUAGAUGUUAAGUUUGUGGAGGACAGAACAUGUAUAUGUAUGAUGCUCGUGUUUCGUUGUCUUCUCCAAGUAUGGUCCCUGGAUACUAGGAGUCCCUAAGAUCCUUUUAGAAAGAAGUGGCAACAUUUGGAAGAUAUGUAUAACUCGGGGAGCCAAUAUUUUCCAAAUGACCAGUGUGCGAUGUUUACAAAAUCAUGUAUGGGUGAAAGAUCCAUUCAAAGAGGCUCUUGACAGGGGAAGGGGCUGGAACACUAUAUCAGUGAUUCUUCGUUCCACUUCUCUGGUCUGAAAGUGUCUCGCUUGGAGCUGGACUGCUUUGUGGGUGAAAAAGGAGCCCGGCCACCUAGGAUUAGCUGACAUGUGUGUGAUUAAGAGUCUUUCUAGCCCCAUGUAUAAUUAGAGGCAGAUCAUGAGAGUAAGCGAAGGAUUUUUUUGUUUUGUUUUGUUUUAAACAGCACGCCCUCAGACUUAUUCUUAACAUUUCAAUUCUGCACAGGUAGCCUCGCCCGCCUCCCCCUAGUGGUCCGGAGUAGGAUCGCCAUGGUCAGAAGAGCCAUUGUGUUUCUGGCUGUGGCUUCCCAGUUCAGGAAGGGGCUGUGAGCUCUGGUUUCUCGUUGUAACAGAAAGAGCCUUAUAAAGUAGGUGAUCUAACCUGGGUGAGGAUAUUAAAAUUUGAAGAGGCUAAAUAAAUCUCCCGAGAGCACAGUAAAUUAAGGCCUAAAUCAGUACAAGAACAUCUGUCAACUGACCCCAGUCCAGAGCCCCACUGAGCACAACUUGAGGAGGAGCCCACUGGCUCCCAAAAUAUACUGGUAAUUCCUAAAGCCAUACUUAGAAGAACAUACAAAGCCCUUACCCCCUUACUUUGCACUGCCUGCAGGACCCUGCCCAUCUCAUGUUCUACCAUUCUCCCAAGCACCAUGGGUGUCUGCCACUCUGUUUUAUUUUUAGUGUAUAAAAAUAUAUACUGACAUUA